AGUGAACGCUGGCGGUAGGCCUAACACAUGCAAGUCGAACGGCAGCACAGUAAGAGCUUGCUCUUACGGGUGGCGAGUGGCGGACGGGUGAGGAAUACAUCGGAAUCUACUUUUUCGUGGGGGAUAACGUAGGGAAACUUACGCUAAUACCGCAUACGACCUACGGGUGAAAGCAGGGGAUCUUCGGACCUUGCGCGAUUGAAUGAGCCGAUGUCGGAUUAGCUAGUUGGCGGGGUAAAGGCCCACCAAGGCGACGAUCCGUAGCUGGUCUGAGAGGAUGAUCAGCCACACUGGAACUGAGACACGGUCCAGACUCCUAAGGGAGGCAGCAGUGGGGAAUAUUGGACAAUGGGCGCAAGCCUGAUCCAGCCAUACCGCGUGGGUGAAGAAGGCCUUCGGGUUGUAAAGCCCUUUUGUUGGGAAAGAAAAGCAGCAGGUUAAUACCCCGCUGUUCUGACGGUACCCAAAGAAUAAGCACCGGCUAACUUCGUGC
RNAcentral lists this ribosomal RNA (493 nucleotides) under uncultured bacterium. RNAcentral's name for it is "partial 16S ribosomal RNA". It matches the Rfam family "Bacterial small subunit ribosomal RNA", at positions 29 to 508 of the family's 1533-position model. The record is from RNAcentral.